Molecule: transfer RNA, 84 nt
Filed under: Candidatus Liptonbacteria bacterium
Lineage: Bacteria; Candidatus Liptoniibacteriota
Description: tRNA-Gln
Source: RNAcentral
CGGGGUGAAUGGCCCCACUUAGCGGGGUAAAUAGGCCGUUUGGCUCUGAACCAAAAAAUUGGGGUUCGAAUCCCUGUCCCCCAG